This is a non-coding RNA of Stegodyphus mimosarum, 72 nucleotides long. NCBI's taxonomy places the organism in Eukaryota, Metazoa, Arthropoda, Arachnida, Araneae, Eresidae. The record is from Rfam.
GGAUCCAUGGUGUAACGGUUAGCACUCUGAAAUUUGAAUCCAGCGAUCCGAGUUCAAAUCUCGGUGAAACCU